This is a long non-coding RNA of Canis lupus familiaris (dog), 5178 nucleotides long. RefSeq lists it as uncharacterized. The record is from RefSeq and is a predicted model, not a curated record. NCBI's taxonomy places the organism in Eukaryota, Metazoa, Chordata, Mammalia, Carnivora, Canidae. The transcript has 3 exons.
GCGCACGACGGCACGGCGGGCACCGCCCGACACACCGGCUCUCAGAGGCCCCGUGUGGCCACCUGUGCUCCCCGCGGCGGCCCCGCGCGACCGCGCCCGGGCGCCCCGGGACCCGGGGGCUCUGAAGCGGCGAAAUGUCACCACCAGCAUCCAGUCUUCAUGAUUAUACUCAUGCCACCCCAUCUGUCCACCUGGAAGAAGCCCUCGAAGAUACCUGCCCAGCCCUAGUGCAUACACAGGAACCCCAAGUCUCAGAACAAGUAUGACAACAGUGAUGUGCUGAGGACCCAGCCAUGCCAGCCCCAGAAGCACUUGACCUGACCCCUCCAUCCCACAAACAGAAAGGCAGACCACAGAGCACAGCCUCUGUCCAAGGUCACUAAACAGUGGGGAACAAACACAAGCAGCAUUUUGGGGUCACCGGCCACCCAGUCCAGUGCCCUAGCCCUGCUUAUCCGCUGCUGUGUGACCCUGAGGACCUGACACACCACUCUGUGCCUGAGCUUGCUUAUCUGCAUAACAGACACAACACCAGUGCACAGCAGGUUAGAAGCUUGGCCGAGCUCCCAAGAGGGAGGGCCUGUAGCAGCCCCCGAACCCUGGCCUCCAGCCCCAUAGCCACAGCCCCCACCUUGGUGCCUGCGCCCACUGCCAUGUGGGCAGUGGCAUUGAAGUCAUGCACGGGCAGGGUGCUCAGCCACUGGGCCAUGGACCUUUCGUGGCGCUCAGUGCUGAUGAUGGUGGGGUAGAUGUGCUGCUCCUUGAAUGCUGUGACCCCCGCCUCCUCCCGUGUCCAGUCCAGUGGCUCGUGCAGCCCAUCGUUGCCGAAGCGCUGGUUAUACUUCUCAAAGUGCACGCGCUCCAGGACCAGGCCAAGCCCUGGCGCCUUGGGCACAUCCACCUUCGCAUCCCCCCAGCUGCGCUCCAGCACACUCUCGGGGGCAUAGCCCUUGACAAUGGCCACUAGCAGGCCAACCAUCUUCCUGAUCUGGUGCGUCAUGAAGCUCUGUCCCUUGACCUUGAUUACCGCGAACUCCAUGCCCUCCCGUACAAAAGGCUCCUCGCAGAACAUAUCCAGGAUGUACCGCCGAGCGCUGGCCUCCUGGGGCCCCUUCUGCGAAGUAAAGUUGUGGAAGUUGUGUGUGCCCUUAUAGCAAGCGAGGAGCCCAUUCACGCGCUGCAGUGUCUCGGCACUCAGCCGAUAGCUCUCAUCCUGCACAUCGUGGUCCUUGUGGGCGAAGGCAAAUGUGGGCAGCAUGUAGAAGUAGGUCCUGGCAUCACAUUUGUUCUUGGAGUUGAAGCCGCCUGUGACCCUCUUCAGUCCUUGAGGGGAGAGGAGGCAAGUGAGGACAACACUUCCCUGCCAAUGAGCAAAUGAGCACCUGGACAGACAGCUUCUAGGCACUGAACCCACGCGUACCUGAUGCUCAACUGCAGUUAUGCAAACUGACUCAAUGGAAACACCAGGGGUGUUAAAACCCUAGGGUUUGCUGAGGUGCAGGCAGGUGCAUGCUUGCCCUCUGCCACUGUCCACAGAAUACAUUGCAGACCUGAAACCAUGCCCUACAAGUUGUUCUAUGGGAGGCUACAGGCAGCAGCACAUCUAACAGCAAAAAAACAAAACAAAACAAAAAAAACUAGAGCCAACUGAGAAAGAGAAAAACGUUCAAACGCGUUCUAGACCAUUGGCAGGAUGAAGCAGAAGGCAGUCCCCGAAACACAGGAAGGCAGGUCUGCGGGAUGUGAGGCCCCACACUCGGAGAGCUGACAGACCCAGCAGACACACAACACACAAACUCUUCAAGGAAAGGAUGAAGACAGAAUGAAGUGCGUGCUGUGCGAAGGUCUCCAGUUGUGAGCAGCACAGAAUUGUACAUGUGCAGACAGAGAAUUUCCCUGAGGACAAAGUACUGGGGAGGACCAGGCAGCCCCCUGCCCUCCUCUGCCUGAACAGUGCUUGGGCCUUCAGGGUCAGUCUGGGCCCACACCUCACAAGUAGCCAGGCGCCUCCAGCCAGCCUGGCCCUGGGGCUCCUGCCCUCCUUGCUCUCGCUCUACUGUCCUAUUUGAUUUGAAGGUAAUUUUAAGUUUUCUUUUUUGCCUGGCAUUAAAAAUUCACUUUCGGGGAUGCCUGGGUGGCUCAGUGGUUGGGUGCCUGCCUCUGGCUCAGGUCGUGAUCCCAGGAUCUGGAAUCGAGUCCUGCAUUGGGCUCCCUAUGAGGAGCCCUCUGCCUAUGUCUCUGCUUCUCUCUCUCUCUCAAUCUGUCUCUCACGAAUAAAUAAAUCUUAAAAAAAAAAAAUUCACUUUGUCCACACGGAGCAUCACCAGGGCGCAUUGUGCAGGCAGUUGUCUGCCGGGAUCAGGGUCCAGGCUGCCCAACAGCCAGGCCCCAGGGCCACACUGAGGGAAACUGCCUGCCCCGCACGUCACACUGCAGUGGGAGCGCCGACUAUUGUAACUGUACAGGAUUCGGAGCUGUUUCAGCAAAACUGGGGCUGAUCUAGGGACUACACUAAAGAGCUUCCCGUGCAAACGCUGGUUCUACGUGAGGGGAGUCUCGGGAGGGGACCCUCCCCAGAGGCAGAGAAGGACCACAGCAAAGCAAACAAAAACCACGCUACAUUGAAACACAGACAUUCAGUAGUAGGCAAAGUAAUCAAUAAGCGUUACCACCUUCGUAGAAAGAACCCCCUUACUUGCACCAAACACCUGAGGCAGCUUUGUCCAUGAUGGCACGGAAGCCUAGCACCCCUGGUAGGCACACGGAGAAACAAUGUGUGGCACGGCCGCAUGACAGGGCCCAUGCACACCCGGCUCUGUGAAAGAAGCCAGACGUACAAUCUGAUUUCUGUUCACAUAAAACGCUUCGGGCUCAAACUAAUCCGCAGCAGAAUGCAGUGGCAGCCAGUGAGGAGGGGUAGUAGGUAGAGGGGUUCGCAGCCCUACCCUGGAUGGUUCCACAGGUGUGUGCACGCAUCUAAACCCUACGCUUAAAUACAGCCUGCAGUAUAUAUCAAUUAAAUUUCCAUUUAAAGUUUUCUCAAGUGGCUGCCUGAAAAAACCACACUGCAUGGGUUAGUAGCACAAGUGGCCAUAUGAUACAUGCCCAUCAGCACCAGGGCCAAGGGGACUAAUGCAGGGGUGCUGCUGUCGUCUUCAGACACUUUGAGAAGUGGGGUGAGUGGUUAUUAGAGAAGAACGUUGUUUUUUUCUAGAUUGAUUUUUUUUUUAUUUAUUUAGGAUAGUCACAGAGAGAGAGAGAGGCAGAGCCAUAGGCAGAGGGAAAAGCAGGCUCCAUGCACGGGAGCCCAACGUGGGACUCGAUCCCGGGUCUCCAGGAUCGCGCCCUGGGCCAAAGGCAGGCGCUAAACCGCUGCGCCACCCAGGGAUCCCGAGAAGGACGUUCUAACAGAGACAGCCACCGUGGCUGCCUAACAGCCCGUGCGUGAAGAGGCAGAUGGGCGUGGAGCCAAGACAAGGUCAGGUGGCCACAUGGCCUGGCCCACUACAGAGGAUCUACCAAUUCCUGCUUUAACCCUCAAAGCAAACACAAAAACCACAGUGAGGUACAGCUAACAAGGCAACCAAGGUGAUAAUUAGAUGGAAUUAGGAAAAACAUUCAUUAAUCCAAAAGAAAACGGAAAAAGGAGAACACAGAACAGAAAAGACAAAAAGAAACCAAUGGUGAGCUCUACACCAACCAACCAAGCCAAAAGCACAGAAACACUAAUGGCCCGGACACGCCACUCAAAAGCAGAAAAUCAACUGGACAGGACUGUCUCAACAAAGACCUAAAACUCCCAUUUAACAGGCUGCUUUUAAGAGGUUAAUUAUCACCCCAAUUUUAACUUUACCAAACCUGGAUGUUCAUGUUCAGUGUUUAGCUGAAACAAGGUGCUGCCACAAAGGGAGGUCCCAAGUGUCUAUCCAGCUCAUCCCUUUGGGUACUAACCACCACUUCUACCAACCACUAGGCAAUCGCCCCAGUGUCCUAAUUCUGCACCAGAGCAGUCUGAGGUUUCACGUUCCUGCAGGCCCAGCCACCAUGCAGCACUCGGCCUUGCAACGCUUACCCAGUAUCCGAAUGUGAGGUGGAAGGUGGCUGUUGAUCUUUUCUAAAAUGUCAUCAAUCAGCCACACCUUCAAGGACACGACCUGGCCGGCCGCAGACACACCCUGCAAAGGAAGCAGAAGGGUCAGGCACACCCCUCCAUGAGGUGGUUUCCUUAAGGACCAUGCCAACGCUGCAUCAUUUCCUGCACAAGUUCUGAGUUUAGGAGCCCAUCUGAGGGGCUGGCGAUACAUGAGGACGGCGCUCCGCACACCAAGGGGCCAGGCAGAGCACAAUUGCUAAGGAUCACUGGUGGCUGCAGAGCACAAUGGAACACAGCACGCCAGGCAGGUGGGAAAUAAAGGCCCCCUCAUACGUGCUCCACACCACAUAGGGAAAAAGAGCACGCAAUUUUAGUCAGGAAACCACCGGCCAAGCAAGGAAGAGCGGUUGUCCAGCCUCAACCAUGGCUUUGCUGUCCCCACUCCAGGUGCCCAUGGUCACCCGUGCUGCUGACACUCCAGCACAAGCCCAUGCCAUCUGCACCCCCCAUCUGAUCACAUGGGCACAUCUCAUCUCCUCCCCUCGUUGAGGGGGCAGUGGAUACAGCCCAGAAAGCCUUUGAGAGAUCCCCCACUCACACAACUUCCAGGCCAGCACAUGGCUGUAAUGUCCUGGUUUGCCCCAAGCUACUGCUGCUGUCUCUCCCUGGGCCGCGUUUAUGAGCACCAUAUCAUGGGUGUUCAGCACCACUGACAGUGCAGGCAUCCACCAGGGAUCUGGAAUGUGUCCCCCACAAACCAGGGGGCGACCACUGUGCCAUCUAAGUCUCUCCCUCCUCCUUGCUCUCUAAAAAACAAUUGGAGAGAUUGAGGAAAAGAACAAAAAAUGAACAAUGAAGAUGCUACCCAGACUAAGUCCACUGCCCCCAGGUCCACAUUCUCUCAUACAGAGCAUCUGGCCACACACAGCCACAGAGGGCAUCAGACAGCCACUCCAUGAGUGGGAAAUACACAAUGGAUUUCAAACAUUUAGAUAAAAAACAAAAAACAAAAACAAAAACAAAAAAACGAACGAAAAAGGGCACCUGCCUGGCUUGGUCAGUGAAAUGUGCAACUCUUGAUGUGA